GACGAACGCUGGCGGCGUGCCUAAUACAUGCAAGUCGGACGGGAUUUGGGAGCUUGCUCCUAAUGAGAGUGGCGCACGGGUGCGUAACACGUAUGUAACCUACCUUAAUCAGGGGGAUAGCCUCUCGAAAGAGAGAUUAACACCGCAUAAUAUAUUUUUAUGGCAUCGUAGAAAUAUCAAAUAUUUAUAGGAUUAAGAUGGGCAUGCGGAACAUUAGCUAGUUGGUAAGGUAACGGCUUACCAAGGCUACGAUGUUUAGGGGAUCUGAGAGGAUGACCCCCCACACUGGUACUGAGACACGGACCAGACUCCUACGGGAGGCAGCAGUAAGGAAUAUUGGUCAAUGGGCGCAAGCCUGAACCAGCCAUGCCGCGUGCAGGAAGACGGCCCUAUGGGUUGUAAACUGCUUUUGUACCGGAAUAAACCCUUUUACGUGUAAGAGGCUGAAUGUACGGUAAGAAUAAGGAUCGGCUAACUCCGUGCCAGCCGCCGCAGUAA
RNAcentral lists this ribosomal RNA (498 nucleotides) under uncultured bacterium. RNAcentral's name for it is "partial 16S ribosomal RNA". It matches the Rfam family "Bacterial small subunit ribosomal RNA", at positions 28 to 523 of the family's 1533-position model. The record is from RNAcentral.